Long non-coding RNA from Eucalyptus grandis, 773 nucleotides. RefSeq lists it as uncharacterized. Lineage: Eukaryota; Viridiplantae; Streptophyta; Magnoliopsida; Myrtales; Myrtaceae. The transcript is spliced from 5 exons. The record is from RefSeq and is a predicted model, not a curated record.
GCCGCCGCGUACGCCGCCGUCCUCCUCAUCGCCGUCUCCUCCUUCUUCACGUUGAUCUCCCUGUCGAGGAAGGACGGCUUCGAGGACCGCCGGGAGCGCGUCUCGUCGGAGGAGGAGCAUCGAUCCGAGCCGGUCGACAGGAAUUGUGUAGGGGCAUAUAAUCAGUGGAACGUCGUGCGUUUCGUGAUUACAUAGAGCACAUGCAUAGGGAUGGUCUCUCAGUGAAGAGGAUAAUUUUCUAUUUGCGUCGAGCCCGCUGCAAGAUACAAAGGUGCACAAGAAUCAGCUCGAUAUAUAACCGUGAGGAGCAAUGGAGGAUUAAAUCAGAUGCGGACUGGUAUUGCAGAUAUGGUAGCUGUGGCGCACAUAAUGAAUGCCACUUUAGUUAUUCCUCAACUGGAUAGACGAUCAUUCUGGAAAGACACAAGUACCUUUUCAGAUAUAUUCGAUGAGACUCAUUUUAUAGAAGCCUUGAAUGGAGAUAUUAGAGUUGCCACGGAGCUCCGAAAGGAGUUGGAAUCAGUUCCUCAUGCUCGGAAGCACUUCAGUUCUUGGGCUAGCAUGGGAUACUACGAAGAGUUGACAGGGUUAUGGAAUGAGUAUCAGAUCUGCAUAAGUCAUGCUAGUUUUUUAAGUGAAGUCUAUUCAAUUUUGGGUAAAUUCUCUAUUUGAAAAAUUUACUUGGACACCUUGUCAGUAGCCUUUGGACUCUAGCGAUUAGAAUAUUGUGGAUGUCCUUUGAAUUCAAUUAGAUUGAGAUUGCUUAUACUUAA